Callithrix jacchus (white-tufted-ear marmoset) is the source of this 15497-nucleotide non-coding RNA. The record is from RefSeq and is a predicted model, not a curated record. Lineage: Eukaryota; Metazoa; Chordata; Mammalia; Primates; Cebidae.
GCACCAAAUGAAUGGCAUUUAAAAAAUAAGUAAUCAAGCGUAAAGGACUGAUGGGAUGGCUGCUAUAAAAUAAUAUGUAAUUGAUACUUCUUUGGGCCCCUGUUUGAAGCUGCGUGAAAAAAAUGUUAAAGAUUUUUUAAAAAGCGUUAUUGAGGUAUAAUGUACAGAUCAGAAAGUUAAGGUAGGUUGUAAUAAGUUUAUAUAGGGUGCAAGUCUCACCGCAAUCUAGUUUUUUGUUUGUUGUUUUGUUUUGGAAGCAGGAUGAAUUUUUAAGUAACUGUUAAGAGAGAGAGGUCUUACAGCGCUCCCACCUUCCUGGGAAAAUGCUUAGUUUCUGUUCACAAUUUUAACUGAGCUCAGCAGUUCGCAUCUCUUGGUGUGAUUAGAUUGCUCCAACCUGCUGUCCCCAGGGAAGCACUUCCCUUUCUCUGAUCGUGGUUCUAAGGCCCUAGUUAUUCACUUGGCAAACUCCGGGCUCCGGUCGCGUACGGGACGAACUGCGGGGAGUGAGCCGCGCGGGCCGCCGUAGUCAGCUGCUAAGAGCAGGAAGAAUCCGAGCGGCGGGCGGAGUCUGCAUUAUGGCACCGGACCCCUGGUUCUCCACAUAUGAUUCUACUUGUCAAAUUGCCCAAGAAAUUGCUGAGAAAAUUCAACAACGGAAUCAGUAUGAAAGAAAAGGUGAAAAGACACCAAAGCUUACCGUGACAAUCAGAGCUUUGUUGCAGAACCUGAAGGAAAAGAUCGCCCUUUUGAAGGACUUAUUGCUAAGAGCUGUGUCAACACAUCAGAUAACACAGCUUGAAGGGGAUCGAAGACAGAACCUCUUGGAUGGUCUUGUAACUCGAGAGAGACUACUUCUGGCAUCCUUUAAGAAUGAGGGUGCUGAACCAGAUCUAAUCAGGUCCAGCCUGAUGAGGGAAGAGGCUAAGCGAGAAGUACCCAACCCUUGGCUCUUUGAGGAGCCCGAGGAGACCAGAGGCUUGGGUUUUGAUGAAAUCCGACAACAGCAGCAGAAAAUUAUCCAAGAACAGGACGCAGGCCUUGAUGCCCUUUCCUCUAUUAUAAGUCGCCAAAAGCAAAUGGGGCAGGAAAUUGGGAAUGAAUUGGAUGAACAAAAUGAGAUAAUUGACGACCUUGCCAACCUAGUGGAGAACACAGAUGAGAAACUUCACACUGAAACCAGGCGUGUAAACAUGGUGGACCGGAAGUCAGCCUCUUGUGCAUUCUCUGGACGGCUGGAUUGCUGCAACUGUACCUUCCCAAGGGGGCUUCCUUUCCCCUGGUCUCACUUCAGUCCAGUGCAUCCUCGAUGCAGCUACCCACUUGAUCAACCUGAAACACUACUCUUAUCUUGCCAGGUAAUAAAGGGACCUUUGGUAGUAAACCUUGGAGAGCUCCAACCUGCCCUGAUCAGGGGGUUCCCAAACGCUGUUAGAAACUGGGCGGCACAGCAGGUGAUUGAGAGGGCAUGACCACCUGAGCUCCGCCCCCGUCAGAUCAGUGGCGGCAUUAGAUUCUCAUAGGAGUUCGAACUCUAUUGUGAACUGCAUAUUCAAGGGAUCUAGGUUGUGUGCUCCUUAUGAGACUCUAAUGCCUGAUGAUCUGAGAUGGAACUGUUUCAUCCCGAAACCAUCUCCCCCUCCCCCAAGUCCGUGGAAGAAUUGUCUUCCAUGAAACUGGUCUCUCGUGCCAAAAAGGCUGGGGACCACUGCCCUAGAGUACACAGCCCACAGUCUUUGGCUCUGGAUCUAAGGCUCGCCAUGGUCUCUCUACAUGGUCUCGUCUGCCACUUUGUUCCUCUAUCCGUAUGGAAACUUCCCACUAUAGCCAAACUCGUUCUUUCUCCUGCCUCAAUCCUAGCUUUUCUGUUUCUGCUUCUUAGCAUUUGCUCACAUAGUGGGCUUCCCUCAGUUGCUGUUCUACUUUAAAUCUUGCUUCACCUGCACUUAAGAGUCAUGUCAGCCAGGCACAGUGGCUCACGCCUGUAAUCCUAGCACUUUGGGAGGACAAGGCAGGCAGAUCACUUGAGGUUGGGAGUUUAAGACCAGCCUGACCAACAUGGAGAAACCACGUCUCUACUAAAAAUACAAAAAAUUAGCUGAGCAUGGUGUCUCAUGCCUGUAAUCCCAGCUACUCAGGAGGCUGAGGCAGGAGAAUCGCUUGAACCUGGGAGGUAGAGGUUGCAGUGAGCCAAGAUUACACCAUUGCACUCCAGCCUGGGUGACAAGAGUGAAACUCCGUCUCAAAAAAAAAGAGUCAUUUCUUGUGACCACUACUCUAUUUUUCCUCUAUGCACAUCUUAUAUUUUUACUCUUUCGUUUAUUAGAGAUACAUGAAUAUACGUAUCUUUGGAAGAGAAGCCAUGCCUCCUUCUCUUUAUUCACUGUGGAAGCCAGACAGGUAUAGAAAGGAGUCAGACUGCAGUAGAGAAGCAAAACCAGAAAGCUUCCCUCUUAAGAGGUCAGCCCCAGGUGACUGUUGCCAGGUAGCAGUGGGCCCAGUAUUGCCCAAAAUUCUUCAGAUUUUUCAAAGAAAGCCAGAACCUCCAUUUCCAUGUGAAAUUGCUUAAUUUCAAUUUUUAACAUGAUGCUUAAAGAUUACGUAUCUACUAGAGAAAAGAGUCCCUUAAAAUUACAAUUUAAAAACCAUUUCAAGUGCAGCAUUGAUCUGAAACAGCAAUAUAUUCACUGAACAAAUACAAAACAGUAAAAAGCCUGCCUUUCAAGAUGACUUUGAGUAGAUUUUCUGGAAAAUCAGGAGUUAAAUGUUCCAUCCUGUGAAUUUAGGAUUUAGAAUCCUAUGCUAGUGUUUAUCAUUUUUUCCUUUUGCAGAUGAAUUUCAGUACUAUAAAUCCUCCUUAACAUAGCCAGAUGCCUUUAAUAUCUUUUUAUUUUCAUUUUAUGAAAAUGUUCAAUGAAACAAAUUUUUAUAUUGCAUUUUCCCACAUUGACAUUAGCAGACAAGCCUGUUUGGGAGGGCUACUAAUCGCGCAGAGAGUCUGCAGGUUGGGGAAAAAUCACAGCCCUUUCCAGCUUCGAUAAAUGAGAGUGGGUCACAGGAGGGAAAGAAGCAGCUGCCCUCUUUGAUAGGCUGAGAAAACAGGAGUUACUGGCCCCGGCAGGUGUUCGGAGAAUUCCCACACAGGUGCAGAUUCCAAAUGAACUAUUAUUUAUUACACUUGGGCUUCUGUGACACAGUCAUCUUUCAUCCAUUCAUCACAUUUUUAUUGAGUCCCUUCACCGAGGCCAUGCUAUGGGGGAAUCCUGUGGUGCAUCAGCCUUAAAGUUCCUGCCUUCAAGUUGCUUAAAGUCCAGCAGGAGAGAGACAGAAACAUCACAAUCACACUCAUACGAGACAGAAUCUAAUCAGUGUCUCUUAGUUCCUAAAUGACCAAUUUGAAGCAUUCAUAAUAGUAGUAAGAGUAAGCAGUAUCCAUGGUGCUUUCAAAGGCACAUAACGUCUUUCCUGGGUCAUAGAGAAAAAGCCCUUUCUGAGCAUAGGCCAAUAGACUGAGCACACAGCAGGAAUGAAGAGUCCGUUGUUGUUGUUUAGACAGUUUCGCUCUUGUUGCCCAGGCUGAAGUGCAAUGGCAGGAUCUUGGCUUACUGCAACCUCUGCCUCCUCGGUUCAGGUGAUUCUCCUGCCUCAGCCUCCUGAGUAGCUGGGAUUAGUCAGCGACAUCACACCUGGCUAAUUUUGUGUUUUUAGUAGAGAUGAAGUUUCUCCAUGUUGGUCAGGCUGGUCUCAAACCUCUGACCUCAGGUGAUCUGUCCACCUCGACCUCUCAAAGUGCUGAGAUUACAGGCAUGAGCCACCUCACCUGGUACGAGGAGUCCUUUUACACUGGAAUUAAGUUCCUAGAAGUUUUCUUGAUUGGUUGGGUUGGUUUUUGGAAGCACCUUGAUUAGUUACAUAAUCAAGGAUGAGUAGAGAGAGGAAUUUAAAACACUUCAUUUACUCGUCUACCUGAGCAGCCUCAUGCCAAGGUCGUAGAUAGAGGUGCAGUGUCCAAUUCUAGGAUUUAUGGGAUGGCUGUGGGUCUCAGGAGUCUGUAGUCUUGUACUGUGAUUCCUUGGCUUUGAUAUUCAAGAGCCUCACCUGCAAUGCUUUUAAAAAUUCAAACAUCUGGGCCCCUCACACAGAGAUACCAAUUCAGGGGGCCUUGAGCCUUGGAAUCUGAUUUUAUCAAGUACCCCUAGAUGAUUCUGAAAUAGGUGGUCCUUGGAAACUGUUCUUUGAAAAGCUGUGCUCUAGCAGUAGAAGAGAGUGGGCAAACAUCUUACUGCAGAAAUGGCGUGGCCAUGACAGAGAUGUGUGCGUGGCCCAUCUGCAGUGCUGCAGGAGUUGAGGGUUGAGAAACAGCUCCAUUCCAGCCACCCUGACUGGAAGUCACUUGAGUUAGCACAGACAAAAUGAGUGGAUUUGGUAGUUUGAAAUGAGUAAAGAAUUAUUCGGAGUGCAAUGAACUGGCGCACCAAGGCAGGGGAGAGCAGUGUGCCUUCAGGGGAUCUGAUCAACUCACUCUCCCGCUUAGAAACCCCUCAGAGGCGCCCCAGGCCCUCAGAAUAAGGUCCAAGCUCCUUAGCACUAGUUCCCACAGCCUAGUAGGAUCUAGUCUCAGGCCGAACCUUCCUUCACUCCCUCACCCUUGGCUACCCUGCACCCUUGCUUCUCAAUACACACAUUCUUUUUCUCUCCCAUGGACUAGGAUCCAGCCACCCUGAACAGUUGGCAUCCCUGGCCUUCCUUUAUUUUGGUGGCUUUGUACACAUUCCUGCCUCUACCUGGAAUAGCUGCCCUCCUUUCUAUCCCUGAUUUCCCUUCCCUAACUUUUCAGCCCUUCAGGGUUGAUUUGGUGUGGCACAUCCUCCAGAGCAGCUCAGUCGUGGUAUCUGGGGAUCUUGUUAACAUGCAGGUUCUGGCCAGGCGCGAUAGCUCACGUCUGUAAUCCCAGCACUUUGGGAGGCUGAGGUGGGCAGAUCACCUGAGGUCAGGAAUUUGAGACCAGCCUGGCCAACAUGGUGAAACCCUGUCUCUACUAAAAAUACAAAAAUGAGCCCCGUGUGGUGGCACAUGCCUGUAAUCCCAGCUACUUGGGAUGCUGAGGCAGGAGAAUUGCUUGAACCUGAGAGACGGAGGUUGCAGUGAGCCGAUCAUGCCACUGCACUUCAGCCUGGGCAACAGAAUUAGACUCAGUUUCAAAAGAAAAGAGAGAGAGAGAGAGAGAGAGAAGAGGAGAGGAGAGUAAGUGGUCCCUAGGAUUUUGAGGAGUAAGCUUGGCUCAUCCUCUGUCGUAGUGUGGACACUGAAAUAAGUUAUCAACCUCCUUUGAAAUACUAAUGAGCUCUUUUUUCUUCCACAACUUAAGCAGUGUUUGGUGUUCUGAGAGACAGCCUUUUAUUUUUGUGCUUCAAAGUUUCUUUUUAAAGUGGAUGUAUAUUUUCCUAUGGAAUUCUCAAGAUACUUUUUCAUGUGUAUUUGUAGGGGUGACAUGUUUUAGAAAUUUCUUUCCAAUCCUCUUAGGCAUUGUCCAAGAGUUUUCUGAUAUGUAAAGCUCUGUUCCCUUUAAUUGUUUCUGAGCGGUUAGGACUCCCUCAUUCCAUUUUACAUUAAAGUUAACAAUUUCCAGGGAAUGAUUUUAAUUGAAAUAGGCAUUCAUUCAAAUGUUCAGAACUUCAUUUCUCCCACACCCAUUUCUGGCUGUGGCCUUGUAGGAACAAGCAUGUAAACUAACAAAAAGUGUUAAUAAAAGGGAUAAACCAGGCUUGGUGUGGUGGCUCAAGCCUGUAAUCCCAGCACUUUGGGAGGUUGAAGUGGACAAAUCACGAAGUCAGGAGUUCGAGACCAGCCUGGCCAACAUGGUGAAACCCCGUCUCUACUAAAAUACAAAAAAUUAGAUGGGUGUAGUGGUGGGCCCAUGAGGCUGAGGCAGGAGAAUCGCUUAAACCCGAGAGGCGGAGGUUGCAGAGAUCGUGCUGCUACACUCCAGUCCAGGUGACCAAAAAAAGAAAGAAAGAAAGAAAAAACCUUGAUGAGUAGAUAUCAAACAUACAAUUUCACCCUGAAGGUUUUUUUCCCUAGGUAUAUUUACUACCCCUCUAAAUACAAAAUUAUAAAUCUAAAGUAGGCCCAGCACAGUGGCUCAUGCCUGUAAUUCCAGCACUUUGGGAGGCCAAAGUGGGUAGAUCACGUGAGGUCAGGAGUUCGAGACCAGCCUGGCCAACAUGGUGAAACCCUACCUCUUCUAAAAACACAAAAAUUAGCUGGGCAUGGUGGUGUGCAUCUGUAAUCCUAGCUACUUGGGAGGUUGAGGCAGGAGAAUUGCUUGAACCCAGGAGAUGGAGGUUGCAAUGAGCCCAGAUUGGGCCAUUGCACUCUAGCCUGGGUGACAGAGGGGGAAUCCAUCUCCAAAUCAAUCAGUCUAUCAAUCAGUCAAUCUAAAGUAGUCUCUAUUUUCCUAAUUCCUGGCGUGGUAAUUUUGCACCUGUCAACCUGUGAGUUGUUCUUGGCAGCUGGAUCUCUAUCAUUCCUUUAGGCUCUACUCCCUAGCAGAAAGGGUUUUCACCCUGGUUUGCAUUCAGCAUUUGCUUUUCUACAAGGUGCUGAAUCCUCAUACAGAUGAAGUUGGUAAGUCCCAUUAGAAGGGGUUUGAAAUGCUAAUUCAUAGCUGUUGACAGGUAUGAAUUCCCAUCAGUCUGGAAUGUUUCGCCUAUUCAAAGUAAUGGAGCAUCCUUGAAUAUAAUCUCUUUUAAAACCCAGAAAUGUGAUACCUGGUUGCCGCAAGCUAAAAAAGAGAAAACUUCCCUGAGAUGCCCAGAGCAAUUUUGUCUCAAGAAAUAAAUAAAUAAACAAAUAGCCAGAUAACCCUCCAGAAAUGCUCCUAUGGAGCUUUAUGUAUAGCUUUAGGUAUUUAUGUUCAUGCGAGUAUAUUUACGUGUGUGUGUGUGUGUGUGUGUGUGUGUGAGAGAGAGAGAGAGAGAGAGAGAGAGAGACCACCUUGAGUGCCUGUGGUUGUAUUAGUAUAACUAUAACUUAUUUUUCAAAAUUCUUGAGGUAAAGAUCUAGCUCAUCUACUAAUUUAUUAUCUUUUUAAAAAAAACGUAUUGAGGCCGGGUGCAGUAGCUUAUGACUGUAAUUCCAGCAUUUUGGGAGACUGAGGCAGGCGGAUCAUGAGGUCAGGAGUUUGAGACCAGCCUGGCCAACAUGGUGAAACCCUGUCUCUACUAAAAAAAUACAAAAAUUAGCUGAUUGUGGUGGUGGGCACCUGUAAUCCCAGCUACUUGGAAGGCUGAGGCAGGAGAAUUGCUUGAACCUGGGAGGUGGAGGUUGCAAUGAGCCAAGACCUUGACAUUGUGCUCUAGCCUGGGCAACAGAGCGAGACUCUGUCUCAAAAAAUUAAAAAUAAGGCUGGGCACGGUGGCUCAUGCCUGUAAUCCCAGCACUUUUGCAGAUGGAGGCGGGCAGAUCAUGAGGUCAGGAGAUCGAGACCAUCCUGGCUAAUGGUGAAACCCUGUCUCUACUAGAUGUCCGACCUACCCUCUGCGGGAAGACUGGGCUCAUUGGGAAAGAAACCGGACCACAGGCUAGAGGAAAUUCCUUAAGUUCAGGCUUUAUUGAGAGGAAAGAGCCUCCGGGCGGGCCAGCCGGGACGAAAAGGAAAAAUGGCUGCGCCGCUCAGAGGGGCAGGGUUGUUUUAUAGGGGGCUGAAGGGCUGGGGGGUGGGGAAGCCAAAAGCCAAGGUGGUGGGCAACUGUUGGUCAGUUUGAACUGCUGGGCGGGAAGCUGGGCGGCGGGAAGCUAGGGCCGGUAUGUAAAGUGAGAGAUAAGGGAGCCUCUUUGUGGGGGAGGGAAAGAGAGAGAGAGAGCUUUUGCGGUAGGGGCAGAGUUUUCCAAACAUUCCCGACUCCUUAAAGAAAAGAAAAAGAGGGGGUCAGGGGCGUCGGUUGUCUCUCUGGCUACUUCCUGCUGACAAGGGUCAACGGGGGGUUCUGAAGAGGUCUCUUUUCUUAAGGAGCCUGGAUGUUCGGGGAGAGGUCUGUUUCUUGCACUCGUUCAGGGUAGGGUUGGAGCAGCAUCUGGUGGAUGGUGACUCGAGUCAGUUCUUGAAAGCGCCGCUGUAGGAACCAGGAUUGGCGGAGCUCAAGCAUGAGCUUGGUCAGAUGCUCCUUUAUUAGGCCAUUGGCCUGUUCUACCUUACCAGAGGACUGGGGAUGGUAGGCAGCAUGUAGCUUCUACUGAAUUCCUAGAGAGGUAGAAACGGCAUUAGUGACUUUGGAGAUAAAGGCUGGGCCGUUGUCUGACUGUAUGGUAGCCGGGAGUCCAAAGCGUGGGAUGAUGUCUUGAAUGAGGUAAGUGGCUACUGUCCCGGCAGACUCAGAGGCUGUGGGGUAAGCUUCAAUCCAGCCUGAAAAAGUGUCAACAAUGGUUAGCAGAUACCGGUACUGUUUGUGCUUUGGCAUAUGGGUGAAAUCAAUUUGCCAGUCUUGGCCAGGUAGGAACCCGCGUAGCUGAUGAAGCUGGCGUCGAGGAUGACAGGAACCCUGGGAAUUAGUUUUCGCGCAGACAGUACAUGAGGACUGGACUUCCUGUAUGGUACUGAGGAGAUGGUGAGGGUGAAAAAGUGGGUUGAGGAAUCGGUAUAAGGCUUUAGGCCCAGUGUGGAGUGAAUUAUGGAUGUCUUGGAUUAUCUGGUACCUUUGCUUUUCAGGGAGGAUGAGGAGGUUAUGCUUGAAGGCCCAGUCAUCCUUGAACCAUACCCCGGGGGUAGACUGGAGGGCCUGGAGUUCCGAGGCAGAGUAUUGAGGGCUAGGAGAAAAAGGCUGGGUGGGCUGGCGGUGGGGAAGGUUAUGAAGGCCUUCAGCUUUGAAAGGAUGUCUCGCCCCAGAAGGGGAACUGGGCAGGUGGGGAUUACUAAAAAGAGUGGGUAAAUGGAGUGGAGUUAUAUGAGCACAUGAGUGGUGGGGUUUGGUAGGGGAUACUCGGGGUCCUGUCGAUUCCCAUGACCGAGACCUGGGAAGGAGUGAGAUGGCCAGAAUAGGAAGGAAGUGCGGAGUAGGUAGCCCCUAUGUCUUGUGACCCUAGGCUCGGCGAGGGUAACCGGAGUCGGAAAGCCAGGGCCCCGCUAGUCGUCUAACAGCCCUAGUAGACUGGGGAACGGAGCUCCCUCGGAGGUCGGCUCCUGGCAAGCAGGCUCCUCCCUACUGAGGGUGACUGCCGGCUGCGUAACGCCAGCGUGUCUGUUUUGAGGAACCGGCACCCUGGGGAAGCUGGGGCAGUCUGACUUCCAGUGUCCUGGGAGCCGACAGAUAGGGCAAGGCUUAGUUGGUGGCCGUGGUUGUGGACAGGCUCGGGACCAGUGUCCUUCCUUUCCACAUUUGAAACAUGCCCCUGGAGGGGCAUGGGUUUCGGCCUUGGGCUUCUGGUUCCCUGCCGGCCUUAGAGCCGCCACUAGGGCUUGGGUCUGGAGAGCAGCCUUCUGCUUCAUGCGAGUUUGGCGGGCAGCCUCAGCUGCAUCUUCCCUGGCAUUGAAUACUUUAAAGGCCAUUUUUACUAGGUCUUGGAUGGGUCUCUGGCCCCUCUUCUGCUUUCUUUAGUUUCUUUCUUAUGUCGGGUGCUGAUUGGGAGAUAAAGUGGGAGGCUAAUACAGUGGCCCCAUUUUGGGAGGCUGGAUCCAGUCGAGUGUACCGGACUAGGGCUUCUUAUGUUUGAGUGAGGUAUUGGAAUUCUUUAAUAUAGGUGGACGGGUUGGCUGAGAAGGAUCCUAAACGUUUCUCAAUUUGGGACAGGUCUUGGAGUGAGAAAGGAACAUGGACCCUGAUUAAACCUUCUGUGCCUGCUACUUCUCGGAGUGGGGCCAGGAUAGCUGGCUGGUGGGAGCGGGUGUGGGCCGCCACCGGAGAGGCAAGAGGAAGUGCAGCCUCUGAGGGAGGGGGCUCGGAGGGAGUAGAGGGAGAGCGAGGCAUGGCCUCUGAGGUAGGAGGUGCAGAGGGAGUGGGGGAAGGGCGUGCCGUUGAUGGCGACUGGUUGCUGAGAUUGGCAGGAGAGGACAGAUGUUCAGGCAGAUCCUCCGGUGAGGAGUAGGGAGGGGGAGAGGUAGUGGAGGAAGAUUUACGGGGGGUUCGAGAUAAGAGGAUUUGGUAGGUUGAGCAGGAAGAACAUAGGUCGGGGUGGGUACAGAGGUCCCAAAAAGCCUGGACGUAAGGAAUUUCAUUGUCCUUGCCCACGCGGCGACAAAAAUCGUCGAGAUCUCGGAGGGUGUUGAAAUCAAAAGUGCCAGUCGGGGGCCAAUGUGACUGGUUACUGAGUUUGUAUUGGGGCCAAGCCACCUGGGACAGGAAAAUAAGCUUUUUCUUUCUGAGGGUUUGGGAAUAUCCCAAUUUGGUAAAAUUUCGCAGCAAGCACCCGAGGGGGGUGCUCAGAGGUAUUUUGGACUCCGAAUUUCCCAUGGCAGGCGCAGCUACAGACUCUCCGGCGCGGAUGGGCAGAUGCAACGAAAAGGCGUCCCCGUUCGUUGCAAAUUCCCCGGAGUACAAUUAAGUACGGAAAGGGAAGCGGUCAGAGGGGCGUCCCCCGUCUGGCGGCUGUCCCUCGGAAGGCUCCUGGAGCCGGAAUGGAAGACUACCUUGGCUCGGCCGAGACUAGGCAAGGAGUCUGUGUGGAACUCCGGAGAGGGAGCAACUGCACCGUGCCGUAGGAAGAGGAGACGGGAAGCGGGGGAAGGCAAAGCAAGAAAAACUAUGCUUACCUUAAUCAGAAUGUGGAGGUGGCAGGGCCAGUGUUGGGUAGGUCGGGGAGGGGGGCCAUGGCCGGGCCAAUGGCCCCAGCUCCCGGGUUUCCGGCACCAUUUGUCCGACCUACCCUCUGCGGGAAGACUGGGCUCAUUGGGAAAGAAACCGGACCGCAGGCUAGAGGAAAUUCCUUAAGUUCAGGCUUUAUUGAGAGGAAAGAGCCUCCGGGCGGGGCAGCCGGGACGAAAAGGAAAAAUGGCUGCGCCACUCAGAGGGGCAGGGUUGUUUUAUAGGGGGCUGAAGGGCUGGGGGGUGGGGAAGCCAAAAGCCGAGGUGGUGGGCAACUGUUGGUCAGUUUGAACUGCUGGGCGGGAAGCUAGGGCCGGUAUGUAAAGUGAGAGAUAAGGGAGCCUCUUUGUGGGGGAGGGAAAGAGAGAGAGCUUUUGCGGUAGGGGCAGAGUUUUCCAAACACUAGAAAUACAAAACAAUUAGCUGGGUAUGGUGGCAGGUGGCUGUAGUCCCAGCUACUUGGGAGGAUUAGGCAAGAGAAUCACUUGAACCCGGGAGGCAGAGGUUGCAGUGAACUGAGAUCGCACCACUGCACUCCAGCCUGGCAACAAAGCGAGACUCCAUCUCAAAAAUAAAUAAAUAAAAUAAAAAUUCACUUCCUACAAAUAAUGACUAUUAACUGUUUGGGUGUAUCUUUCCAGUCUCUUUUCUAUGCAUGCAUAUAGUAAUCUACAUGUGCUAUGGUUUGAAUGUCUCCGCCAAAACUCACAUUGAAAUUUGAUUGCCGUUAUGACAGUAUUAAGAGGUAAGACGAGGUGAUUAGAUCAUGAGGGCCCUGCCCUCGUCAAUGGCUUAAUGUUAUUAUCACAGGAGUGGGUUACUUAUCAAGGGAAUUCAGCCCCCUUUUCCUCUCUGUCUUGUAUGCCCACUAAUGCCUUCCACCCGUGCUGGUUUCACUCUCAUCAGAGGGCCAUGUUCUUGGACUUCCCAGGCUUCAGAACCAUGAGCCAAAUCAAUUCUUUCCUGGAUAGAUUGCCUAGUCUGUGAUAUUCCAUUAUAGCAGCGACAAACCUAAGCAAACAUAUAUUGUCUUUUUUAUUCCUUUCAACCAUUUUGCGAUCAUAUCCUGCAUACUUUGAGAGUUCCUUUUCUCACUUCCUGGAGUUGAAACCACCUUUGCAAAAUUAUGACUAAGACAGUGAAAGAGGUCCAACUUAAACGACUCUAUCUUGCCUCUAAUUUCCACACUGUCCUUGUUCAUUCCUGGGCGUCGGCUGAACUAACUGUGGGAGGAACUUAGUUCAUAGUUUAAAACAAAGAUGAUGGUAGCCCUUUCCCAGAAAAAAAAAAAAAAAACCCUCCUUCUUGCCUGGGAACUAGACUACUAACAUUAGCCACAAGAUUAGAAAUUAUGCUUUAGGAGUCACAUAGCUGGAGACUACAAGAUUCUGAUCCUAUUCAAACUGCACCUAAGAUCAGUACUUGAGAUGGUUUGCAGAAUCCCAUCUACCCUUGAUGGAUUAACUGGCACCACCUGAUCUUGUGACCCCCCCAGCCCCAGGAACUGACUCAGUGCCAGAAGACAGGGACACCCUGUGUUCGACCCAACCAAUCAGCACUCCCAACUCACUGCUUCUCCCCUCCACCAAAUUGUCUUUAAAAUUUUUGAUCCCCAAAUGUUCAGGGAAACUGGUUUGAGUAAUAAUAAAACUCUGGUUUCCCACUCGGCCAGUUCUUUGUUAAUUACUCUUUCUCUAUUGUGAAUCCCCUGUCUAGAGAAAUCGGCUCUGUCUAGGUAGUGGGUACGGUGAACCCACUGGGCGGUUACAAAUUGGUUAAGGUGGCUGGGCUCAGUGGCUCAUGCCUGUAAUCCCAGCACUUUGGGAGGCCAAGGAGGGCAAAUCAUGAGGUCAGGAGUUCGAGAGCAGCCUGACCAACAUGGUGAAACGCUGUCUCUACUAAAAAUACAAAAAUUAGCCAGGUGUGGUGGCAUGCACCUGAAAUCCCAGCUACUCAGGAGGCUGAGGCAGGAAAAUCGCUUGAACCUGACAGGGGAGGCUGCAGUGAGCCAAAAUCGCACCGCUGCACUCCAGCCUGGGUGUCAGAGUGAUACUCAGUCUAAAAACAAAAACAAAAAAAACACCACCAACAACAACAAAAAAACACAUUGAGUAAGGUAAACCCAUUGGGCAGUUACACAGUCUCAAAAAUUUCUAUGUCUCCAUGUUUUCCAACAAAAUGACUGUAUAACUUUUUUUAAAUGUGUGUGUGUUAUAUCGAUUUACAUGAACUCUUGCUUGAAGCAAGUGUUUUUAAGCAUUUAUUAUAAGUUGUUUUAAUUUGAAAGCUGGAGGAACAGAAAACCAAAUGCCAUGUGUUCUCAUUUAUAAGUAGGAGAUACACACGUUGGGUACACAUGGACAUACAGAUAGGGACAAUAGACAUCAGGGACUAUUAGAAGGGAGAGAGGGAGGGGAGCAAGGGCUGGAAAACCACCUGUUGGGUAUUGUGCUCUCUACCUGGCUGAGGACAUCAUUCGUACCUUAAAACUCAAUGUCACACAGUAUACCCAUGUAACAAAUGUGUACGUGUACCUCCUGAAUCUAAAAAUUGAAAUUAUUUUUUUAAUUCCAAAAUAAAGCACAGUUUAAAAAAGAAUUGAAAGGUAGAAACCACAGGAAACUCAGACACAUUAUCUUCAUUCUCAGUAGGGAAAUACUCUGCUUUAAGAAGUAUUGGGGCUUAUUCUCAUCUUGAAGACCUUGGGUGUGGCAGCUGAAAGCCUUUUUUUGUUGUUGUUAGUCUCCUCUCUCAGCCUCCUGAGUAGUUGGGAUUACAAGUGCACACUACCACGCCCAGCUAAUUUUUGCAUUUUUAGUAGAGACAGGGUUUCAGUAUGUUGGUGAGGCUGGUCUCGAACUCCUGACCUUGUGAUCCGCCCGCUUCGGCCUCCCAAAGUGCUGGGAUUACAGGCGUGAGCCACCGUGCCCAGCAGGCAGCUGAAAGCUUUGAAAGAUGUGAUGCAUUUCCCCAAAGGUAGCCAAAAAUGUCAUCACCUCCCUAGGCAAAUAUAUCUUGGGUUCUAGGUGCUGUGUUGGGUAAGGCAGGAUACAGUGGUGGUCCCUGCCCUCAGGGAGCUUAUAUUGCAGUUGUGGGAGGGAAUUGAGACAGUAAACAGACAUACAUAAAUGUAAUAAUUACCAAUUGUGAUACAGUCUAGACAGCCAGAAGGCCCUCUGGAUGUAAAGACUCUGAAAAAGGAUCCAGUUCUGCAUUACUGAUUUUAUUAACAUCAUUAAGAUUGUCACUAGAGAAUGGCUUGGAUAACGUAAGAAUGUUUAAGUACUUAUGACAGAUGAAUGAAACACAGCACCAAUAGCUCCAUUUGGAUGCAUUAUAAAAUAGUCUCCAGUUACUUGUAAACUUGGGAGAAGUGAAAUGUCACUGCAGAUCUAGAUCUCUAGAGGAAGAAAGCCACUAUUUUGUCCAUUCCGUCUGUGAAUCUUUUAUUCCUUACUUGGUGGAUGAUGUUGGUUAAGUUAACCAAAGGGAGCAUGUCGAUCUGAUGAUUUGUUGCCUCUGUCUGAUUUGUUCAUUGGUGUUUUGGAUGAGGGAAAAAAUGAUGAGAUCUCUGCCUCUUAGUCAUUCUCCCUAACUCCAACUCAACCCUUGUUCCAAUUCACCCAUUUCCCAUUAUGGAGCAGAAAAGACUGCUUAAGGCCUGGUUUAUUUACCUAAUAAACUGGCUCUUGUAUUGCCUGGGAAAUGCUAAAAUUUUUCAGCCAAGAAAUCCUAGUAACAAGCAAACAGAGGUCCAGCAGUCAGGUCUGAAGAAACAACAAAAUGAAGGUCAGCUAAUAUCGUCAUUAUUCUCCUUCCUGGUGGCCAUGACAGCGCCGGGGUUUAUUUGAAGAUCCCAGACUUCGAAUCAUUGCUCGCAUUGUUUGUUAGCCGCCCAAGUAUUUUAGGCUGUGCCAACAGUUGCAGAUAUUAAUGUAUUCUAGAGAUCAGUGAAUGAAGAAUUCCUCUGCACUUUUUUCCUUUUUAAUUUUUUUUUCUUCUCCUUUCCAUACACUUUGUUUGCAGUGUCUUUGUCUGCCAGAGGUUGCUGGGCAUUUCUAAUGAGAAAGCAAAGAAUUGCAGAAGGAAAAAGGCAGAGAGGGGGGAGGGAGAGAGAGAGAACAGGCGGAGGAAAAACAGGGCGUGUUUAGCACUUUAACAGUAAGGUGACAUUUUUACAAGCUAGUCAGGUGCACAGGACUCAUUGGGGAAAGCAGCAUUGUCGAUGCAAAUUGAGAGCGGAAAGCACAGUUUUUGGAAACGUCCAAUUCAUCGAUUAGCUUCUCCCAACAAAAACGCACUUUUAUUUUUGAACAUCAUUUUCGCCGCAGGACACCCAGCCUCCAUCCCGCUUUAGUAUUCAUCCCAGCUUCAUUACCGCAGCCACCUCGCAACCCACCCUGGGCAGCUGCUAAAAGGGGGGAAAAAAUUAAAGCAAUUCAUACUCCUGGUGACUUACUGCUGCAGAAUAAUUGGUUUCUGUUUGCAAAGAACAUUAUCACAGCAAAGCCCAGAAAACAGAAAGGAAUGAUCAUGGUGAUUUUACUGCUGCUUGUGGCUAUUGUGGUCGUCGCAGUCUGGCCAACCAACUGAUGGCGGUAAAGAGACCAUCAGCCGUGACACCUGCCAAUGACAGAUGAAAAGCUAGCACCCUUUUGGUAUGCAAAGCCUGCCCUCAAUAAAUUCCCCCAAAGCUCCGAA